RNAcentral lists this ribosomal RNA (439 nucleotides) under uncultured bacterium. RNAcentral's name for it is "partial 16S ribosomal RNA". It matches the Rfam family "Bacterial small subunit ribosomal RNA", at positions 338 to 795 of the family's 1533-position model. The record is from RNAcentral.
CCUACGGGUGGCAGCAGUGGGGGAUAUUGCACAAUGUGCGCAAGCCUUAUGCAGCGACGCCGCGUGGAGGAAGAAGGUUUUCGGAUUGUAAACUCCUGUCUUCAGGGACGAUAAUGACGGUACCUGAGGAGGAAGCCACGGCUAACUACGUGCCAGCAGCCGCGGUCAUACGUAGGUUGCAAGCGUUGUCCGGAAUUACUGGGUGUAAAGGGAGCGUAGGCGGGACAGCAAGUCCAGUGUGAAAUCUAUCGGCUCAACCGAUAGCUGCGCUUGAAACUGUGGUUCUUGAGUGAAGUAGAGGCAGGCGGAAUUCCUAGUGUAGCGGUGAAAUGCGUAGAUAUUAGGAGGAACACCAGUGGCGAAGGCGGCUUACUGGACUGUAACUGACGUUGAGGCUCGAAAGCGUGGGGAGCAAACAGGACUAGAUACCCCUGUAGUC